This 497-nucleotide ribosomal RNA is filed under the name uncultured bacterium. Its description in RNAcentral is "partial 16S ribosomal RNA". It matches the Rfam family "Bacterial small subunit ribosomal RNA", at positions 28 to 507 of the family's 1533-position model. The record is from RNAcentral.
GAUGAACGCUGGCGGCGUGCCUAAUACAUGCAAGUCGAGCGAACGGACGAGAAGCUUGCUUCUCUGAUGUUAGCGGCGGACGGGUGAGUAACACGUGGAUAACCUACCUCUAAGACUGGGAUAACUUCGGGAAACCGUAGCUAAUACCGGAUAAUAUUUUGAACCGCAUGGUUCAAAAGUGAAAGACGGUCUUGCUGUCACUUAUAGAUGGAUCCGCGCUGCAUUAGCUAGUUGGUAAGGUAACGGCUUACCAAGGCAACGAUGCAUAGCCGACCUGAGAGGGUGAUCGGCCACACUGGAACUGAGACACGGUCCAGACUCCUACGGGAGGCAGCAGUAGGGAAUAUUCGGCAAUGGGCGAAAGCCUGACGGAGCAACGCCGCGUGAGUGAUGAAGGUCUUCGGAUCGUAAAACUCUGUUAUUAGGGAAGAACAUAUGUGUAAGUAACUGUGCACAUCUUGACGGUACCUAAUCAGAAAGCAACGGCUAACUACGUG